GACGAACGCUGGCGGCGUGCCUAACACAUGCAAGUCGAACGGAAAGACCCUGCUUUUGUUGGGUGCUCGUGUGGCGCGCGGGUGUGUAACACGUGAGUAACCUGCCCUUGACUUAGUGAUAACUUCAGGAAACUGGGGCUAAUACCGGAUAGGAGCUCUUGAUGCAUGGUGGGGGUUGGAAAGUUUCGGCGGUUGGGGAUGGAAUGGCGGCUUAUCAGCUUGUUGGUGGGGUAGUGGCUUACCAAGGCUUCGACGGGUAGCCGGCCUGAGAGGGGGACCGGCGUCAAUAGGACUGAGAGACGGCCCAGACGCCUACGGGAGGCAGCGGGGGAGAGUAUUACACAAUGGGCGGAAGUCUGAGGCGGAAACGCCGCGUGCGGGAUGCCGUCCUUCGGGUUGUAAACCGCUUUCUCCUGUGACGAGGCGUGAUUGACGGUAAUGGGUAAAGAAGCACCGGCUAACUACGUG
RNAcentral lists this ribosomal RNA (468 nucleotides) under uncultured bacterium. Its description in RNAcentral is "partial 16S ribosomal RNA". It matches the Rfam family "Bacterial small subunit ribosomal RNA", at positions 28 to 507 of the family's 1533-position model. The record is from RNAcentral.